Molecule: ribosomal RNA, 826 nt
Filed under: uncultured Solobacterium sp.
Lineage: Bacteria; Bacillati; Bacillota; Erysipelotrichia; Erysipelotrichales; Erysipelotrichaceae
Description: bacterial SSU rRNA
Rfam family: Bacterial small subunit ribosomal RNA
Source: RNAcentral
AGAGUUUGAUCAUGGCUCAGGAUAAACGCUGGCGGCGUGCCUAAUACAUGCAAGUCGAACCUGGAGACCGACUUCGGUUGGUCGAAGGAGUGGCGAACGGGUGAGUAAUACAUAAGCAACUGCCCACGAAGACCGGGAUAAUCCCUGGAAACGGGGACUAAUACCGGAUAGGCAUUUGAGGGCAUCUCUUAAAUGUUAAAGAUUAAAAGCACUGGUGGAUGGGCUUAUGGCGCAUUAGCUGUUGGUGAGGUAACGGCCCACCAAGGCGAUGAUGCGUAGCCGGCCUGAGAGGGUGAACGGCACAUUGGGACUGAGACACGGCCCAGACUCCUACGGGAGGCAGCAGUAGGGAAUUUUCGGAAUGGGGGAAACCCUGACCGAGCAACGCCGCGUGAGUGAAGACGGCCUUCGGGUUGUAAACUCUGUUGUAAGGGAAGAACGGUACGGAGAGAAUCUGUAAGUGACGGUACCUUACCAGAAGCCACGGCUAACUACGUGCCAGCAGCCGCGGUAAUACGUAGGUGGCGAGCGUUAUCCGGAUUAUUGGGCGUAAAGGGUGCGCAGGCGGCCUGUUAAGUUUAAGGUGAAAGCGUGGGGCUUACCCCAUACAGCCUUAGAUACUGGCAGGCUAGAGUACUGGAGAGGAAAGUGGAAUUCCAUUGUAGCGGUAAAAUGCGUAGAUAUAUGGAGGAACACCAGUGGCGAAGGCGGCUUUCUAGCAGUAACUGACGCUGAGGCACGAAAGCGUGGGGAGCAAAUAGGAUUAGAUACCCUAGUAGUCACGCUGUAAACGAUGAAUACUAAGUGUUGGGGAAACUCAGUGCUG